GGUAGCGUGGCCGAGUGGUCUAAGGCGCUGGAUUUAAGUUACUGCUUGAUUCCCAGUGGGGCAACCCGCGCGAGUUCGAACCUCGCCGCUACCA
Gloeopeniophorella convolvens is the source of this 94-nucleotide non-coding RNA. The record is from the annotation of a GenBank genome assembly. Lineage: Eukaryota; Fungi; Basidiomycota; Agaricomycetes; Russulales.